Athene cunicularia (burrowing owl) is the source of this 959-nucleotide long non-coding RNA. RefSeq lists it as uncharacterized. The record is from RefSeq and is a predicted model, not a curated record. The transcript has 2 exons. Lineage: Eukaryota; Metazoa; Chordata; Aves; Strigiformes; Strigidae.
CCUCGUCCACCGAGCACCGCCAAGAAACACUGAAGACCACCACAUAACACCAAGGUCCACUGAGGACUGACAAGGACCCCCAAGGACCACUGGAGAACCCAAGGUAUUACUGAGGACCACUAAGACCACCAAGGACCACUGUGGACAACUGGAGACCCUCAUGUUCCACUGAGUACCACUGGAAGCUGUUGGACUCCCUUGGAGGCCAUCAAGGACACCAGAAGGAUCCAAGAAACCCCGAGUGACCCUCGUCCCGUCACUGCAACUCCUGGAGAAGGAGCGGAGCCGCCACCAUGCCAUGAGUGUCUCUCUGAGUGGGUACUGUGCUCCCUUCUGCCACUGCUGCUCUCUUGCCCGGUGGAGGCCGUUCAGCACCAGGAGGCUGGGGAGGCUGGUGGAGGGCCAGGCAGAGGGCAGAACGGCUGCCUUUCCCCUCUAGCUGUGCCGGGGUGCAGGGAUGGGUGUGCAGUGGCAUGGUGGGCUGGGGGCCCUUUCUGCUGCAUGGUUGUUCCCUAAGCACAGCCUGGUUCUUGCAGGCUCAUCUCAAGCACAGGCCUCCGACGAUCCUGUCUAGCAGCGAAGGGGGACUUUGCCACUCACCAGGUGAGUUUGGGAAAGAAAGGCUCCUCCUGCAAUCGGCUGGGCUGUGCUCCUUGUCCCUUGAGUGUCCCUGUGCAGGUUGGGCACCCCGAGGGAGGACGUCAACCAGAGGAGAAAGGACAGCGCUUGGCAGUGUUCGCUGGACGUGGUUCUGCAGGGACACGCAGCCUCUGGUGCUGCCCACAGCCUGGAGGAGGACAGGGCCAGGGCUGGGCCAGGCUGUCCAUGGACACACCGGCUCUCAGGAGCCCCCGAGUCGGAGCAGUUGAGCCGCAGCCACGGUUCCAGCUGCUGGCUCCCCUGCCCGUCCUGCCGCACCGCUCAGCAUGGUGCUGCAGGCAGGGCAGGGCAGGCUCCAG